RNAcentral lists this ribosomal RNA (484 nucleotides) under uncultured bacterium. RNAcentral's name for it is "partial 16S ribosomal RNA". It matches the Rfam family "Bacterial small subunit ribosomal RNA", at positions 30 to 507 of the family's 1533-position model. The record is from RNAcentral.
AUUGAACGCUGGCGGCAGGCCUGACACAUGCAAGUCGAGCGGAUGAAGGGAGCUUGCUCCUGGAUUCAGCGGCGGACGGGUGAGUAAUGCCUAGGAAUCUGCCUGGUAGUGGGGGAUAACGUCCGGAAACGGGCGCUAAUACCGCAUACGUCCUGAGGGAGAAAGUGGGGGAUCUUCGGACCUCACGCUAUCAGAUGAGCCUAGGUCGGAUUAGCUAGUUGGUGGGGUAAAGGCCUACCAAGGCGACGAUCCGUAACUGGUCUGAGAGGAUGAUCAGUCACACUGGAACUGAGACACGGUCCAGACUCCUACGGGAGGCAGCAGUGGGGAAUAUUGGACAAUGGGCGAAAGCCUGAUCCAGCCAUGCCGCGUGUGUGAAGAAGGUCUUCGGAUUGUAAAGCACUUUAAGUUGGGAGGAAGGGCAGUAAGUUAAUACCUUGCUGUUUUGACGUUACCAGCAGAAUAAGCACCGGCUAACUUCGUG